RNAcentral lists this ribosomal RNA (471 nucleotides) under uncultured bacterium. Its description in RNAcentral is "bacterial SSU rRNA". It matches the Rfam family "Bacterial small subunit ribosomal RNA", at positions 29 to 524 of the family's 1533-position model. The record is from RNAcentral.
AGCGAACGCUAGCGGCGGGCCUAACACAUGCAAGUCGAGCGGAGAACUUCGGUUCUUAGCGGCGGACGAGUGAGUAACGCGUAGGUAAUGUGCCUUCUGGUGGGGAACAACCGUGCGAAAGCAUGGCUAAUACCGCAUAUGUCGAGAGAUGAAAGCCUUCGGGCGCCAGUAGAGCAGCCUGCGUCCCAUUAUUUAGUCCUAGUUGGUGAGGUAACGGCUCACCAAGGGUACGAUGGGUAGCUGGUCUGAGAGGAUGAUCAGCCACACUGGAACUGAGACACGGUCCAGACUCCUACGGGAGGCAGCAGUGGGGAAUAUUGCGCAAUGGGCGAAAGCCUGACGCAGCCACGCCGCGUGAGUAAUGAAGGCCUUCGGGUUGUAAAGCUCUGUCGGGAGGGAAGGAAGGCGGCAAGCCUGACGGUACCUCGCAAGAAAGACACCGGCUAACUCUGUGCCAGCAGCCGCGGUAAU